Molecule: ribosomal RNA, 253 nt
Filed under: uncultured bacterium
Lineage: Bacteria
Description: partial 16S ribosomal RNA
Rfam family: Bacterial small subunit ribosomal RNA
Source: RNAcentral
UACGAAGGGGGCUAGCGUUGCUCGGAAUCACUGGGCGUAAAGGGCGCGUAGGCGGAUCUUUAAGUCGGGGGUGAAAGCCCAGGGCUCAACCCUGGAAUUGCCUUCGAUACUGAAGAUCUCGAGACCGGAAGAGGUAAGUGGAACUGCGAGUGUAGAGGUGAAAUUCGUAGAUAUUCGCAAGAACACCAGUGGCGAAGGCGGCUUACUGGUCCGGUUCUGACGCUGAGGCGCGAAAGCGUGGGGAGCAAACGGG